GAGCAAUGUUGAAAAAGGUUUUAACACUGACCUUUAUAACUAUGAAGGUCUCGACACCAGAUCUGAGCCCA
This 71-nucleotide small nucleolar RNA is filed under the name Vicugna pacos (alpaca). RNAcentral's name for it is "Small nucleolar RNA U2-30 (ENSVPAG00000015640.1)". It matches the Rfam family "Small nucleolar RNA U2-30". From Rfam's summary of the family: U2-30 is a member of the C/D class of snoRNA which contain the C (UGAUGA) and D (CUGA) box motifs. The record is from RNAcentral. Lineage: Eukaryota; Metazoa; Chordata; Mammalia; Artiodactyla; Camelidae.